ACUCCUACGGGAGGCAGCAGUGGGAAUAUUGGACAAUGGGGGAAACCCUGAUCCAGCCAUGCCGCGUGUGUGAAGAAGGCCUUCGGGUUGUAAAGCACUUUCAGUGGGGAGGAAAGGUUGAUGGUUAAUACCUAUCAGCUGUGACGUUACCCACAGAAGAAGCACCGGCUAACUCCGUGCCAGCAGCCGCGGUAAUACGGAGGGUGCAAGCGUUAAUCGGAAUUACUGGGCGUAAAGCGUGCGCAGGCGGUCUGUUAAGCGAGAUGUGAAAUCCCCGAGCUUAACUUGGGAAUUGCAUUCGAUACUGGAUGGCUAGAGUAUGGGAGAGGAUGGUAGAAUUCCAGGUGUAGCGGUGAAAUGCGUAGAGAUCUGGAGGAAUACCGAUGGCGAAGGCAGCCAUCUGGCCUAAUACUGACGCUGAGGUACGAAAGCAUGGGGAGCAAACAGGAUUAGAUACCCUGGUAGGCUCUGCU
This 473-nucleotide ribosomal RNA is filed under the name uncultured bacterium. RNAcentral describes it as "bacterial SSU rRNA". It matches the Rfam family "Bacterial small subunit ribosomal RNA", at positions 335 to 801 of the family's 1533-position model. The record is from RNAcentral.